UACAUGUAGAAGCAAAAUGCAAACCUGGCUGGACCAUAAAUCUGCUCAAGAUUUUCUUAAUUGUUGGUGCAUCCACUCAAAAAUUUACAUUUUAUAGGGUGCAUUCUUGGUAGGAAAAAAGUCUAAGAAUUAUCUUUCCCAUCGUCAGUAACUAACUAUACUAGAGAAAUUUGAGUGCUUAAACACAAACUAAUAUUUGUUUGCAUUUGUAAUGCAGUAUAGAAUUAGUUGAUGACUGUUCAUGAAAAUAUGUUCCCCAUCGAUCCGAAUACUUUGUAUUGAAAAAAAUAACUUCUAAUAUAUGUCAAUAACUUGCAAGAUGGUCUGAGAUACCUACAGGAAAACCAUUUGUUAGGUGACUGUUGGCCAAACAAUGAUUUACAUGUUUUGUACCUAUUUGAAACAAAAAGAGGCACACAAGUAGAAAGAUCAAACUUCAGAAUAAAAAUAUUUCAGCAUCAAAAUGGUUAAUAGUGAGUAUUAUAGCUUCAAAAGAGCCUAUUGGCUCACCCUAAAGGAUGCCCUGCAAUUGUUGUUAAACUCAUCAGAUGAAACUAGCCCUUCCUAGCUAGCCCUUAGAUUUGUCUAGCUAACAGCAAAAUACUAUAAUAAAUCUGUAACACAUGUUGCCAGACAAGAAUAAGUGAUAUAAAUAAAGAGUCAAGAGACGUAGCCCCUCAAGAACAAUGUGAAAAGAUUUAUACUUUCAAUGUAUUAAUCUAUUAACAUCGUAGAAGUAACUUGAAAAUGUCAUGCUGUUGUUUGUUUAUAUAAUUCCUUAUUUUUUCUUCUUCUUUUUCUCUUCAGAUUGUAUUUUAAACACAAAUGUUCUCCGUGACUGCCUGCUUUGCAGCAUUAGGAUUGUUGCCACUUUUGCUGCUUAACAUCCAAGACGUCAACUAAUUCCAUGAGUAGAUAAUCUCUAAUGCUGAGAUCAAACCAGGCAUGAAGAUCCAGCAAGAACCACAAAC
This 971-nucleotide long non-coding RNA is filed under the name Gopherus agassizii (Agassiz's desert tortoise). Its description in RNAcentral is "lncRNA (ENSGAGG00000012339.1)". Lineage: Eukaryota; Metazoa; Chordata; Testudines; Testudinidae. The record is from RNAcentral.